Long non-coding RNA from Mesocricetus auratus (golden hamster), 714 nucleotides. RefSeq lists it as uncharacterized. The transcript is spliced from 6 exons. NCBI's taxonomy places the organism in Eukaryota, Metazoa, Chordata, Mammalia, Rodentia, Cricetidae. The record is from RefSeq and is a predicted model, not a curated record.
AGACUAUGAUAGGCUCAACUUUAGAAUGUUUUAAUUUACUAGAGGGAGGAGACACAAAACUCAGAGCCACAAGCAAUUUGGUGGGAAACUAGGCCUCAAAGCUGAAAAUGCAAAGUCGAUUGGGGGAAGAUUUUUAAAUAAGUGGGUCAGAGGGACCAAGAGGAGAGGAGGCGAUCAAUCUUAACCCCCUGACAGCUCCCUCCGAUUGCUUCAAAGAAUUUGGCUCUUUGGGAAAGCAGAGGGAACAGCCUAAAUUCCACAUCCCUUAAAAAGGCCUGAGGGAGGGAGCAGCAAAAGAGAAAGCCUAGAGAAGAAGGCUGGUUAGCAGAGAAAUGGCAACUCAGCGGAGAGCUGGAACUAGAAACUUUCUGUCAGUGUAACGUCUGCGUGGGUGGUGACCCAAUGGUGGUUGGGCUUCGGGUCACGUGACAGCCUCCUUGUAGCUCCGGAAGAGAACCGUGAAGUUUAGGUUGCCUGGAAGAAGCAGCGGCUCUGAAUUUCAGGAUCUCUCACCAUCCCUGAGCCCUCUGGAACUUGAGAAUGAAAGGGAGGACAAAAAAAAAUCAAGAUCUUGGGGGAUUUCCACAGAGAUGGAAGAUCUUGAUCUGGCGCUCGCUGAGGUUCAGCAAAUUAGCCAUCUCCACGCGGCGCGGCCGGCACAAGUAGCGGUUGAAGUGGAACUCUUUCUCCAGCUCAACCAGCUGCGCGCUUGUG